This 950-nucleotide ribosomal RNA is filed under the name Comamonas sp. RNAcentral describes it as "bacterial SSU rRNA". It matches the Rfam family "Bacterial small subunit ribosomal RNA", at positions 40 to 989 of the family's 1533-position model. The record is from RNAcentral. Lineage: Bacteria; Pseudomonadati; Pseudomonadota; Betaproteobacteria; Burkholderiales; Comamonadaceae.
AGGCUGCCUUACUAUGCAGUCGAACGGUAACAGGUCUUCGGAUGCUGACGAGUGGCGAACGGGUGAGUAAUACAUCGGAACGUGCCUAGUAGUGGGGGAUAACUACUCGAAAGAGUGGCUAAUACCGCAUGAGAUCUACGGAUGAAAGCAGGGGAUCGCAAGACCUUGUGCUACUAGAGCGGCCGAUGGCAGAUUAUGUAUUUGGUGGGAUAAAAGCUUACCAAGCCGACGAUCUGUAGCUGGUCUGAGAGGACGAUCAGCCACACUGGGACUGAGACACGGCCCACACUCCUACGGGAGGCAGCAGUGGGGAAUUUUGGACAAUGGGCGCAAGCCUGAUCCAGCAAUGCCGCGUGCAGGAUGAAGGCCUUCGGGUUGUAAACUGCUUUUGUACGGAACGAAAAGCCCUGGGUUAAUACCCUGGGGUCAUGACGGUACCGUAAGAAUAAGCACCGGCUAACUACGUGCCAGCAGCCGCGGUAAUACGUAGGGUGCGAGCGUUAAUCGGAAUUACUGGGCGUAAAGCGUGCGCAGGCGGUUUUGUAAGACAGAGGUGAAAUCCCCGGGCUCAACCUGGGAACUGCCUUUGUGACUGCAAGGCUAGAGUACGGCAGAGGGGGAUGGAAUUCCGCGUGUAGCAGUGAAAUGCGUAGAUAUGCGGAGGAACACCGAUGGCGAAGGCAAUCCCCUGGGCCUGUACUGACGCUCAUGCACGAAAGCGUGGGGAGCAAACAGGAUUAGAUACCCUGGUAGUCCACGCCCUACACGAUGUCAACUGGUUGUUGGGUCUUAACUGACUCAGUAACGAAGCUAACGCGUGAAGUUGACCGCCUGGGGAGUACGGCCGCGAGGUUGAAACUCAAAGGAAUUGACGGGGACCCCGCACAAGCGGUGGAUGAUGUGGUUUAUUUCGAUGCAACGCGAAAAACCAUUACCCAUCUUUGACAUGU